This 651-nucleotide small RNA is filed under the name Arabidopsis thaliana (thale cress). RNAcentral describes it as "ATSL220210". The record is from RNAcentral. Lineage: Eukaryota; Viridiplantae; Streptophyta; Magnoliopsida; Brassicales; Brassicaceae.
UUUGUUUAUAUGUAUCAAAAUUUAAGAUCUAUAAAUUUGAUACGUGUUAUGAUCAGAUGAAUUACUAACUUUGAAUACUAUACUUAAUAUAAUAAGAUAGGUUUGAGAAUUGGCGCCUGUGAAGUCGCUAUGAAGAUUUGUCUUAACAUCAGUUGCCUACGACAAUUGCAUGAACACCAUCACCAGCAGUAAGUACUACUUGUAACUCAUGUAGAGGACGUCGACAUUAAAAGAAAAGGAGGAGAGACCGUUUCUAGCUAGGAUACACGACACGCAAGUAGCUCCACUAGCGCCUCUCAUUAUCGAAACCACCACGGGGCUAAGGAAACCUCUAGCAUUGACGAACUCCUCCAGAGCAUCCUAGAUUGGCUCUAUCAUCAGGAAACAAAGACAUGCAGACGACUAGACACGCUCGUCACUUUUCAGGACGAAAUCAAUCGUCUCCACGUCUUCAGCGGCCAUACUCUUACGUCGCCAAGCGAAGAAAUUGCAGCUUGAUUACUACGAACCUGCCUCAGCAACAGAUUGAUGAACAACAAGCACGGCCCAGCAGGCUUUGUCAUAGUGAUCGAUUAAUAAUCAAGCCUUUGGCCCCAAUAACCCUAUAUGUAAUAAUAUAUUAUAACAUAAUAUUAAAAAUAAAUAAACAAA